UCACGUGAUGAGCAUUCAAUUCACAUCGCGACACACCGAUGAUUCAAAUGAGUGAGCUACGAAUGGAAUAAAUUAAAUCGAGAAAGAACAGCUGAGAU
Small nucleolar RNA from Trypanosoma brucei brucei TREU927, 98 nucleotides. The record is from RefSeq and is a predicted model, not a curated record. NCBI's taxonomy places the organism in Eukaryota, Euglenozoa, Kinetoplastea, Trypanosomatida, Trypanosomatidae.